AGCUCCAAUAGCGUAUAUUAAAUUGUUGCGGUUAAACGCUCGUAGUUGGAUAUUUGUGGAGGAAUACCGGUCCACCCUAGUGGUGCGCACUCGGUACAUUCUCUGCAUUUUCCUGGGGAGAGUGUUCGCACUUCAUUGUGUGGCACAUGAUCCAGAACUUUUACUUUGAGGAAAAGAGAGUGUUUCAAGCAGGCUACUGUCGUGAAUACGUUAGCAUGGAAUAACAGCACAGGACCCGUUC
This 241-nucleotide ribosomal RNA is filed under the name uncultured eukaryote. Its description in RNAcentral is "partial small subunit ribosomal RNA". It matches the Rfam family "Eukaryotic small subunit ribosomal RNA", at positions 587 to 834 of the family's 1831-position model. The record is from RNAcentral.